This 146-nucleotide small nuclear RNA is filed under the name Conidiobolus coronatus NRRL 28638. RNAcentral's name for it is "U1 spliceosomal RNA". It matches the Rfam family "U1 spliceosomal RNA". From Rfam's summary of the family: U1 is a small nuclear RNA (snRNA) component of the spliceosome (involved in pre-mRNA splicing). The record is from Rfam by way of RNAcentral. Lineage: Eukaryota; Fungi; Entomophthoromycota; Entomophthoromycetes; Entomophthorales; Conidiobolaceae.
GUACUUACCUGCCAGGGUUUGACCGUGAUCAUGAAGGCGGUCUUACUAGGUUCGGGCCCCCACAUUGCACGAAAGUGACGGGCCUUAGUCUACAAACACUUCGGUGUCUUGACUGGACAAUUUUUGACUCUUCCCUUCGGGGACCU